GAUGAACGCUGGCGGCGUGCUUAACACAUGCAAGUCGAACGAAGCACUUUAUUUGAUUUCCUUCGGGACUGAUUAUUUUGUGACUGAGUGGCGGACGGGUGAGUAACGCGUGGGUAACCUGCCUUGUACAGUGGGAUAACAGUUGGAAACGGCUGCUAAUACCGCAUAAGCGCACGGCAUCGCAUGAUGCAGUGUGAAAAACUCCGGUGGUAUAAGAUGGACCCGCGUUGGAUUAGCUAGUUGGUGAGGUAACGGCCCACCAAGGCGACGAUCCAUAGCCGACCUGAGAGGGUGACCGGCCACAUUGGGACUGAGACACGGCCCAAACUCCUACGGGAGGCAGCAGUGGGGAAUAUUGCACAAUGGGCGAAAGCCUGAUGCAGCGACGCCGCGUGAGCGAGGAAGUAUUUCGGUAUGUAAAGCUCUAUCAGCAGGGAAGAUAAUGACGGUACCUGACUAAGAAGCACCGGCUAAAUACGUG
This 481-nucleotide ribosomal RNA is filed under the name uncultured bacterium. RNAcentral's name for it is "partial 16S ribosomal RNA". It matches the Rfam family "Bacterial small subunit ribosomal RNA", at positions 28 to 507 of the family's 1533-position model. The record is from RNAcentral.